GAUUAGAUACCCUGGGAGUUCCCGCCCGUAAAACGAAGUUCGACCUUGGAGGUUGGUGCCCCUGAAGGGGGUGGGCUUUCCGGAGCUAAACGCGUUUAAGUCGACCGCCCUGGGGGAGUACGGGCCGCAAGGUUAAAACUCAAAUGAAUUGACGGGGGGGCCGCACAAGCGGUGGAGCAUGUGGUUUAAUUCGAUGCAACGCGAAGAACCUUACCUGGCCUUGACAUCCAGAGAAACUUAGCAGAGAUGCUUUGGUGCCUUCGGGAACUUUUAGACAGGUGCUGCAUGGCUGUCGUCAGCUCGUGUUGUGAAAUGUUGGGUUAAGUCCCGCAACGAGCGCAACCCUUAUCCUUUGUUGCCAGCGGUUCGGUCGGGAACUCAAAGGAGACUGCCGGUGAUAAACCGGAGGAAGGUGGGGAUGACGUCAAGUCAUCAUGGCCCUUACGGCCAGGGCUACACACGUGCUACAAUGGCGCAUACAAAGAGAAGCGACCUCGCGAGAGCAAGCGGACCUCAUAAAGUGCGUCGUAGUCCGGAUUGGAGUCUGCAACUCGACUCCAUGAAGUCGGAAUCGCUAGUAAUCGUAGAUCAGAAUGCUACGGUGAAUACGUUCCCGGGCCUUGUACACACCGCCCGUCACACCAUGGGAGUGGGUUGCAAAAGAAGUAAGUAGCUUAAUCUUCGGGAGGGCGCGUAGACGUUACGAGGUUUAGACCCCCCAGUUUCUC
RNAcentral lists this ribosomal RNA (728 nucleotides) under Pantoea dispersa. RNAcentral describes it as "bacterial SSU rRNA". It matches the Rfam family "Bacterial small subunit ribosomal RNA", at positions 776 to 1477 of the family's 1533-position model. Lineage: Bacteria; Pseudomonadati; Pseudomonadota; Gammaproteobacteria; Enterobacterales; Erwiniaceae. The record is from RNAcentral.